CUUUGGAGGUUUGACAGAAGAGAGUGAGCACACGCGGUGGUUUCCUAGCAUGCAGGAGCCAUGCUGGGAGCUGCGCGUGCUCACCCUCUCUCUGUCAGCCGUUCACCAUGC
This 111-nucleotide microRNA precursor is filed under the name Brachypodium distachyon (stiff brome). Its description in RNAcentral is "miR156g stem-loop (bdi-MIR156g)". Its record names the gene bdi-MIR156g. The stretch from base 11 to 98 matches the Rfam family "mir-156 microRNA precursor family". From Rfam's summary of the family: This family represents the plant microRNA (miRNA) precursor mir-156. Animal miRNAs are transcribed as ~70nt precursors and subsequently processed by the Dicer enzyme to give a ~22nt product. In plants the precursor sequences may be longer, and the carpel factory (caf) enzyme appears to be involved in processing. Lineage: Eukaryota; Viridiplantae; Streptophyta; Magnoliopsida; Poales; Poaceae. The record is from miRBase by way of RNAcentral.